This is a long non-coding RNA of Cavia porcellus (domestic guinea pig), 496 nucleotides long. RefSeq lists it as uncharacterized. The transcript has 3 exons. The record is from RefSeq and is a predicted model, not a curated record. NCBI's taxonomy places the organism in Eukaryota, Metazoa, Chordata, Mammalia, Rodentia, Caviidae.
AGUCCCGCUGGGGUGUUACCGUAUUCACACAUGGCGACUGUGAAUAGUCCUGGCUGCCUUUAAGAGUGUUUGAGAUUGCAGUGCAAUCGUUGCGUUCAUGGGGAUUCUCAUCCAGGUCAGGGCUCGGGGAGGUUCUGAGGAGAGCCAAACACUGUGCUGGCGGACAGGACUUCUCGAGGAGCAGCGCUGAGCACCCAGACACUUCUCUGACCGACCCCGCGCUGCCCCGAGGUGCCAGGAGUGACAGCAUUCCCACGAGCAGCGCAGGCUCUGACUACGGUCUCGGGAGCGGGCAGCCUGCCCGGCGGUGCAGGCCAGUGACCGAGCAGCUUUCCCCGGGCAGCUUUGUGUGGCGAGGCCUCCAGGUGACAGCCUGAAGAACAGAGACCAAGGGCACAGCCGCUCGCCUGCACCACAAAUCCCUGCUUCGGACCAAGACAGGAAACCGCACCAGGAAGAGCUGCAGGAGCCACAAAACUCAGAGCUUCAAUGCCUA